GCUUUUUAAUUUAAACUUUAAUAACUAGUGCAAAUGUUUUACUUUAAAUUCAGUAAAAAAUCUCAAUAAUUGCUAUACCUUUUAUCUUUCCUUGAGAUUCAGAGAAUCGAGAAAAAAGUUUAUGCACACGGUUCCUGCUCAAACCACACUGAUCCAUGCGAACUGUUGCUCCAGCCUUGGAGAAAAGCCGUUCAGGGAGAACUGAUGUAGCCGCUAGAGCCAAGUACUUCAAUGCCACUUUGUAUAGGGUUGGAAAAGUGUCUUUAUGUUGCUCCAAUAAAAGAAUGGAUUUGACUUUGUCUGAAAGAGUUUGCUGGAAAUAUAAUGUUAGUUCCAAGGGAAAUUCAUCAAUUUCUCGUGAUUCACUUACACUUGGAUUUGUUAAUUUUGCUAUUACCUCAUCGUGAAUGAACCACAAAUCUUCCUCGUCUAAAUUCUGAGUAUUUUUGGGUACAUCUGUGGAUCUACUGUCGGGUACAGUUAUAGCUGAAUUUUCAUCUUACAUAAUUGAUAAGUGCUGUGACUGCAUUUGAUAUAUACGGUGGACUUUGGAAGUGAAUUUUUUUGUAUCUGGGGUCUACUAGUGUAACAAGAGAAAGCAUUUUAAUAUUUUCUAUCUUUCCUAAUCUUCUGGAAAUUUCUUUUUCCAGUUGUAACUUCUUUGCCUGGCUCCGUUGCACAAUGAACUUUGCGAAUUUUCGAUAUAAGCGGCUGUUAGGAUAUUUUUUUGCUAAUAACAACAGUUUAUUGGAAGAAAGCAUACUUGUGGAAUCUUAGGUAAAUGCAUAGACGUAUAUAGUUUUCCAGAAACAUGUAAGUAAUAUGGUUAGUAUUGGAUGUAAAAUAUUAUACAUUCCAAGAUGUGAAUUGUUUCUUAAUAAACAAAUUGAGGUGUAUGUAAACAUGGUAUCAAUAAGUGUACCUUCUGGAAGACAAACCGUCACUGAGAAUGAUUAAGAUCCAAAGACGAAGGAAAAUAAAACAAAUGUGGCUGUAAUGAAAGAAGUAUUACAAAAAGUUAUUUCAAAUACAGAAAUAGAGGAGGAUAAAUCAGCUAGUACGGAAAUUGAUAAGGCCUUUCUGAACUUUUUGGAGAAAUAACAAAAAUUAGAAGAAAGAAAUUUGAAAAAAUUAUUAGAAGCAUGUCAAAAAAAUCUCUACAGUAGCAGAUAUAAAAUGUAAUUUUUGGACAUGAUUCUAAAUAUAUGUUUGAUUUUAUUUUAUAAAAUUAAUUCACAUACUCUAUAUAUCUUGUUGGUUUUAUAUAUGUUUUGUAAUACUUCAUAAAAUCUCAAUGUUUUUUAAAUAGUGAGAAUAAUAAAAAAUACUCCCUCUGUC
RNAcentral lists this long non-coding RNA (1338 nucleotides) under Androctonus crassicauda. Lineage: Eukaryota; Metazoa; Arthropoda; Arachnida; Scorpiones; Buthidae. The record is from RNAcentral.